AGAUGAAAGAUACGGAUCUUCCUCUUCCCGGUCCUGUCGCUCCGGCCCUGAUGCCUUGGCAACAAGCAGAAUUCCUCAACAAAAUCCUGAUAAAGCCUGUCC
Molecule: non-coding RNA, 102 nt
Filed under: Tryblionella compressa
Lineage: Eukaryota; Bacillariophyta; Bacillariophyceae; Bacillariales; Bacillariaceae
Source: RNAcentral